Molecule: ribosomal RNA, 975 nt
Filed under: Diaphanoeca sphaerica
Lineage: Eukaryota; Choanoflagellata; Acanthoecida; Stephanoecidae
Description: eukaryotic LSU rRNA
Rfam family: Eukaryotic large subunit ribosomal RNA (bases 1-872)
Source: RNAcentral
UUGGGCGCGAAAGGCACUCAACCUAUUCUCAAACUUUAAAGAGGUAAAAACCCCGACUUGCUUAAUUGAACCCGUGGCACUGAGUGUGAGUUCCAAGUGGGCCAUUUUUGGUAAGCAGAACUGGCGAUGCGGGAUGAACCGAACGCGGGAGUUAAGGCGCCAAAAUCGACGCUCAUCAGACCCCAGAAAAGGUGUUGGUUGAUCUAGACAGCAGGACGGUGGCCAUGGAAGUCGGAAUCCGCUAAGGAGUGUGUAACAACCCACCUGCCGAAUCAACUAGCCCUGAAAAUUGAUGGCGCUUAAGCGUCGUGCCUAUACUCCGCCGUUGGGGCAAAUGCGAAGCCUCGACGAGUAGGUGGGCGUGGGGGUUGUGACGAACCCUAGGGAGUAUCCCGGGGAAACGGCCCCUGGUGAUAUCUUGGUGGUAGUACCAAUAUUCAAAUGACAACUUUGAAGACUGAAGUGGAGAAGGUUCCAUGUGAACAGCAUUGGACAUGGGUUAGUCGAUCCUAAGAGCAAGGGAAAUCCCGUUUUACAGGGAGAACUCGUGGAAUUUAUUUUAUUUGGUACGCUGCCUAUCGAAAGGGAAUCGGGUUAAUAUUCCCGAACCGGGACGAGGAUAGAUUUGCGGCAACGCAAGUGAACCCGGAGACGCCGGCGGGGGCCCUGGGAAGAGUUCUCUUUUCUUUUUAACAACGCCAUUGCCCCGAAAUCAGCUUAUCUGGAGAUAGGGUUUAUCAGCUUGGUAAAAGCACAGCACUUCUUGUUGUGUCCGGCGCGCACCCGACGGUCCAUGAAAAUCCGAGGGAAAGAAUAAUUUUCUCGCCUGGUCGUACUCAUAACCGCAGCAGGUCUCCUAGGUAACUCCGUUUAUGAGGCGUAUUGUGGAAUGAAUUCUUGGCUAGUGAAGUAAGGUAGUGAACGGGUAUGUAAUAGAAGAGAUAUAAUAAAAUAUGGAACCUAGUGAUAUGUAUA